This 141-nucleotide small nuclear RNA is filed under the name Folsomia candida. RNAcentral's name for it is "U4 spliceosomal RNA". It matches the Rfam family "U4 spliceosomal RNA". Rfam says of the family: U4 small nuclear RNA (U4 snRNA) is a component of the major U2-dependent spliceosome. The structure of U4 snRNA from yeast and human has been reported. The record is from Rfam by way of RNAcentral. Lineage: Eukaryota; Metazoa; Arthropoda; Collembola; Entomobryomorpha; Isotomidae.
AUCUUUGCGCAGUGGCAGUAUCCCAGAUGAUGAGGUUUAUACCGAGUCGGGAUUAUUGCUAGUUGAAAACUUUAACCAAUGCCCCGCCUAGUUAGAGUGAAAUACCUUUGACUACGGCAAUUUUUGGAGACUCGCAAGAGU